AAGGAGCACCACGAAAAGGGUUGAGACACUGGGUCUUACCCGAGCCGUGAGGAACCGGUUGCCUGUAGUGGGCACGGUUUGGUGCACAACAAACUUUUUUGACUGCCAGACACACUAUUGGGCUUUGAGACAACAGGCCCGUGCCCCUUUUGGGGGGUGGCAUCCGGUUGCGGGUGUCGGCGUGUUGUUGCCUCACUUUGGUGGUGGGGUGUGGUGUUUGAUUUGUGGAUAGUGGUUGCGAGCAUCUAGCACGCAGAAUCGUGUGGUCUCACUCCUUGUGGGUGGGGCUGGUUUUGUGUG
Molecule: unclassified non-coding RNA, 300 nt
Filed under: Mycolicibacterium fortuitum
Lineage: Bacteria; Bacillati; Actinomycetota; Actinomycetes; Mycobacteriales; Mycobacteriaceae
Description: partial 16S-23S ribosomal RNA intergenic spacer
Source: RNAcentral